GGAAUAUUGGACAAUGGACGAAAGUCUGAUCCAGCCAUGCCGCGUGUAGGAAGACUGCCCUCUGGGUUGUAAACUACUUUUAUAUGGGAAUAAACCCCCCGACGUGUCGGGGGCUGAAUGUACCAUCCGAAUAAGCACCGGCUAACUCCGUGCCAGCAGCCGCGGUAAUACGGAGGGUGCAAGCGUUAUCCGGAUUUAUUGGGUUUAAAGGGUCCGUAGGUGGGAUUAUAAGUCAGUGGUGAAAUCUUUCGGCUCAACCGGAAAAUUGCCAUUGAUACUGUAGUUCUUGAGUAUGCUCGAUGUAGGCGGAAUAUGUCAUGUAGCGGUGAAAUGCAUAGAUAUGACAUAGAACACCGAUAGCGAAGGCAGCUUACAAGCGCAUUACUGACACUGAUGGACGAAAGCGUGGGGAGC
RNAcentral lists this ribosomal RNA (414 nucleotides) under uncultured bacterium. RNAcentral describes it as "bacterial SSU rRNA". It matches the Rfam family "Bacterial small subunit ribosomal RNA", at positions 358 to 769 of the family's 1533-position model. The record is from RNAcentral.